Molecule: small nuclear RNA, 103 nt
Organism: Cebus imitator (Panamanian white-faced capuchin)
Lineage: Eukaryota; Metazoa; Chordata; Mammalia; Primates; Cebidae
Source: Ensembl
GUGCUCACUUCAGCAGCACAUAUACUAAAAUUGGAACGACACAGAGAAGAUUAGCAUGGCCCCUGCACAAAGAUGACAUGCGAAUUCAUGGUGUUCAUUUUUU